Molecule: microRNA, 25 nt
Filed under: Canis lupus familiaris (dog)
Lineage: Eukaryota; Metazoa; Chordata; Mammalia; Carnivora; Canidae
Description: cfa-miR-8813
Source: miRBase by way of RNAcentral
CACAGGCUGAGUCGCAGUAGAGUCU